Molecule: long non-coding RNA, 161 nt
Organism: Octopus sinensis (East Asian common octopus)
Lineage: Eukaryota; Metazoa; Mollusca; Cephalopoda; Octopoda; Octopodidae
Exons: 3
Source: RefSeq, a predicted model, not a curated record
UGAUUUAUAUAUAUAUAUAUAUAUAUAUGUGAGAAAUUUGUUAUAUGAAAGCACGUGGUUGGAUGUAUAAAAAUCAAAAAGGAGUGAAAAAACUGCAGAAGGCGUGUGUUAUAUGGAUAAAAAAUAUAUUUAAAUCGUUAUGUUAGAAAAAUAUGUUAUAA